Molecule: long non-coding RNA, 1095 nt
Filed under: Homo sapiens (human)
Lineage: Eukaryota; Metazoa; Chordata; Mammalia; Primates; Hominidae
Description: HSALNT0246879
Source: RNAcentral
AAUGCCACCAAUCGAUUAAAAUUGCUAAAUUUUUAAAAAUGAAAAUAAGUGCUAGGUGAGAACAUGAAGGAGCUAGAAAUCUGGUAUAUUGCUGGUGUGAACAUAAAAGGAUACUCUCCUUUGAAGAGAAAUAUGACAUUUCCUUGUAAAGAGGACAUACGACACAUUAAUUUUUCUCCUAGGUGUUUAUCCCCGCAAAUAAAAAAUAUAUAUCCACACAAAGACUUGUACAUGAAUGUUUAUGAUAGCUUUAUUUAUAAUAGUCCAAACCUUAAAACAACCAAAGUGUACAUCAGCAGGAAAAUGAGUAAACAAAUUGUAAUUUAUCUAUACAACUGAAGACUACUUGGCAAUAAAAAUGAUUUACUGAUUAAUGCUACAAUAUGGAUAAAACUCUAAAAUAUUAUGCUGAGCAAAAGAAGUAAACACCAAUGAGGACCUAUUAUAUGAUUCCAUUGAGAUGAAACUCUAGAACACAAAUCUAACCUGUAGUUACAGAAAGCAGAUUAGAUUUUACCUGGGGAUAGGAAUGGGAACUUGACAGAGGAAAGACGCAGGAAACUUUUUGGGGGUUAAUGGACAUGUGUUUUUUUCUUAAUUGUAGUGGUGGUUAGACAGGCAUGUACAUUUGCCAAAAUUCAUCAAAUUAUAUGAUCAAAAUGGGUGCAUCUGAUUAUGUAUAAAUCAUAUCUAAUAAAACUGAUUUAAAAACUUUUUAAAUAAGACAUUACACAAAAUAUUAACACUUCUUAAUUUUGAAUUUUGAGUGUUGUAUCAUUUAGAAUCCUAGCAAGAAAUGUAUGGCAACCUCACCUGGAAAUUGAAGAAAUUUUAGUGAAGAAACUAUUAAAGAGGUAUGGACAGAAUGAAGAAAACCAACCAGUGUUUUGAGGUACUGGCGGACUUGCAACAACAGGAUGCUCUUUCUAGCCCUGGACUGGACAGGGCAAGAAGGAUUGGGGUUUUCUGGACACAGAAACAAAGGCAGAGCACACAAAAAUGUUCUCUGCACCAUGCCACUGCUGCUGCGGGAGAGAGGAGGUGUGAUGUCAGCAAUUCAAGACGGUUUUUCCUGCCUCUUCAGUGCCUCUUUUA